Long non-coding RNA from Vicia villosa (hairy vetch), 284 nucleotides. RefSeq lists it as uncharacterized. NCBI's taxonomy places the organism in Eukaryota, Viridiplantae, Streptophyta, Magnoliopsida, Fabales, Fabaceae. The transcript is spliced from 3 exons. The record is from RefSeq and is a predicted model, not a curated record.
GUGUGGUUGAUGAGAUUGAAAACUGCCAAUCCAAGACAGGAGGAAAAAAGAUUGUCAUUUCUUUUAAACUCAAAGAUUUGAGUGGGAACAUUGUAACUUGCACGCUGUGGGACACUUACGGAACCAGGUUUUUAAAUUACUAUAAUGACGAUUCAAAAUGUGGAGCAAUAGUCAUUGUUCUAACUCAUGCAAUCAUUAAGGAUUCUCAGGUCUCUAAUGGCUGGAGUGGCUCAAAACUGUUUAUCAAUGACGAUAUUGCUGUUAUCAAUGAAUUCAUGUCAAAG